CGGCAGGGUAAGUAAAGUGGCGCACGGGUGAGUAGCGCGUGGGUAAUCUACCCCUGAAUUCGGGAUAACAGUGCGAAAGCGCUGCUAAUACCGAAUGACAUCUAUAAGGCUUUGGUCUAGUGGAUCAAAGGUGGCCUCUGCAUGCAAGCUACUGUUUGGGGGUGAGCCCGCGUACCAUUAGCUAGUUGGCAGGGUAAUGGCCUACCAAGGCGGCGAUGGUUAGCUGGUCCGAGAGGAUGAUCAGCCACACUGGAACUGACACACGGUCCAGACUCCUACGGGAGGCAGCAGUGAGGAAUUUUGCGCAGUGGGGGAAACCCUGACGCAGCAACGCCGCGUGAGUGAAGAAGGCCCUUGGGUCGUAAAGCUCUGUCAACUGGGAAGAAGUUAUGACAUAUUAAUAGUGUGUUGUAUUGACGGUACCAGUGGAGGAAGCGCCGGCUAACUCCGUGCCAGCAGCCGCGGUAAUACGGGGGGUGCAAGCGUUACUCGGAAUCAUUGGGCGUAAAGGGCGCGUAGGCGGCCUGGUAAGUCAGAUGUGAAAGCCCGGGGCUCAACCCCGGAAGUGCAUCCGAUACUGCUAGGCUUGAGUAUGGGAGAGGGAAGUGGAAUUCCUGGUGUAGAGGUGAAAUUCGUAGAUAUCAGGAGGAACACCGGUGGCGAAGGCGACUUCCUGGACCAAUACUGACGCUGAGGCGCGAAGGCGUGGGGAGCAAACAGGAUUAGAUACCCUGGUAGUCCACGCAGUAAACGUUG
Molecule: ribosomal RNA, 756 nt
Filed under: uncultured delta proteobacterium
Lineage: Bacteria; Deltaproteobacteria
Description: bacterial SSU rRNA
Rfam family: Bacterial small subunit ribosomal RNA
Source: RNAcentral